AUUCAGGUGACGAGUCCCAAAUAGGACGAAACGCGCAUCCUGGAU
Molecule: non-coding RNA, 45 nt
Filed under: Schistosoma margrebowiei
Lineage: Eukaryota; Metazoa; Platyhelminthes; Trematoda; Strigeidida; Schistosomatidae
Source: RNAcentral